CCUGCUAGCUGCUUCCGGGGCACAGCGUGGAGCCAGAACAAGCAGGGACCCUACCUUAGCCCUGCUGCAUCACUGACCGGGAGCCACCUGAGAUAACUGAUCAUAGAGAAUGCAGCUCCAUAGGCUGGAGUUCCUGCAAUGCACCUCCUUCAACAAAUCAAAGG
Long non-coding RNA from Gopherus flavomarginatus (Mexican gopher tortoise), 164 nucleotides. RefSeq lists it as uncharacterized. The record is from RefSeq and is a predicted model, not a curated record. The transcript is spliced from 2 exons. Lineage: Eukaryota; Metazoa; Chordata; Testudines; Testudinidae.